Molecule: ribosomal RNA, 566 nt
Filed under: uncultured archaeon
Lineage: Archaea
Description: bacterial SSU rRNA
Rfam family: Archaeal small subunit ribosomal RNA
Source: RNAcentral
UCGAUUAGCCAUGCGAGUCGAGAGCUUUCGGAGCUCGGCAUACUGCUCAGUAACACGUGGAUUACCUGCCCUGUGCUCCGGGAUAACCUCGGGAAACUGAGAAUAAUACCGGAUAGUCCACCACGCCUGGAACGGUGGGUGGAUCAAAGGUCACGGCACAGGAUGGGUCUGCGGCGUAUCAGGUUGUAGGGGGUGUAAAGGACCCCCUAGCCAUUGACGCGUACGGGGUUGUGGGAGACAUAGCCCGGAGAUGGAUUCUGAGACACGAAUCCAGACCCUACGGGGUGCAGCAGGCGCGAAAACUUCACACUGCAGGAAACUGUGAUGAGGGAACUCCAGUGCAUGCACAAUGUGUAUGCUUUUCCUUACUUUUAAUCGGUUAGGGAAUAAAGGCUGGGAAAGAACGGUGCCAGCCGCCGCGGUAAUUCCGGCAGCUCCAGUGGUCGGUCGUUUUUAUUGGGCCUAAACGUCGGUAGCUGGUUGGGUAAAUUCGUGGGUAAAUCAACCACUUUAAUUUGUUGAAUUCAGCAAGACUGCAAAUUAGGUCCGGAAAGGUGGGGUAUCUC